Molecule: non-coding RNA, 601 nt
Organism: Pelobates cultripes (western spadefoot toad)
Lineage: Eukaryota; Metazoa; Chordata; Amphibia; Anura; Pelobatidae
Source: the annotation of a GenBank genome assembly
CCGGGCAGUGGGAGGCUGGGAGUCUCUCUGGAAGGAGGCCGGGCAGUGGGAGGCUGGGAGUCUCUCUGGAAGGAGGCCGGGCACUGGGAGGCUGGGAGUCUCUCUGGAAGGAGGCUGGGCACUGGGAGUCUCUCUGGGAGGAGGCCGGGCAGUGGGAGGCUGGGAGUCUCUCUGGAAGGAGGCUGGGCACUGGGAGGCUGGGAGUCUCUCUGGAAGGAGGCUGGGCACUGGGAGUCUCUCUGGGAGGAGGCCGGGCAGUGGGAGGCUGGGAGUCUCUCUGGAAGGAGGCUGGGCACUGGGAGGCUGGGAGGCUCUCUGGAAGGAGGCUGGGCACUGGGAGUCUCUCUGGGAGGAGGCCGGGCAGUGGGAGGCUGGGAGUCUCUCUGAAGGAGGCUGGGCACUGGGAGUCUCUCUGGGAGGAGGCCGGGCACUGGGAGGCUGGGAGUCUCUCUGGAAGGAGGCUGGGCACUGGGAGUCUCUCUGGAAGGAGGCUGGGCACUGGGAGGCUGGGAGUCUCUCUGGAAGGAGGCUGGGCACUGGGAGUCUCUCUGGGAGGAGGCCGGGCACUGGGAGGCUGGGAGUCUCUCUGGAAGGAGGCCGG